Long non-coding RNA from Fundulus heteroclitus (mummichog), 729 nucleotides. RefSeq lists it as uncharacterized. The record is from RefSeq and is a predicted model, not a curated record. The transcript has 2 exons. Lineage: Eukaryota; Metazoa; Chordata; Actinopteri; Cyprinodontiformes; Fundulidae.
GCAACUUUAACCAGAGGACCGGACUUCCGCAUCAACCCUUCAGAAUAAAAGCUCCGGUCUCACAACAGGAGCAACAGUUUGUGCUCUUUCCUGGUUUUAAGGAUGUUUGUAGGUUAUUUUUAAUUUUUCUUCAUCUUCAGGCUCAAUGCCUCCAACUCCUUAGAAUAAUCUCAUGAGUGGAUCUCUGGGAUUGGUUGGACCUAAAGAACCAAGAAUCCUCCAGAACCCGACUCUAUGUGGACCAGUUAGAACUUGGUAGGUCAUCAUCUUAACGCAUUGAGCUGUUAUGAAGCUGUUAUGAAGUGCAGCACGUCCUGCGGUCACUGAACUCUUAUUUUGAAAGAGCCAGACCAGAAGCUACUGAUUAAGUCAUGUGACCUGUAUCACAUGAUUCAUGUCCUGCAGAAAUGAUUAUAACAGACCUUGUUUUGUGUAAUAAUAAAGUGUAGUAAUAAAUGAAUAUGAAAUAAAAGUUUCCAGCUCUUUAUUGUUUUCCUGCUCAGAAACAUGGUUUUAAGUCAUGAAACUCAUUUAUAUUUAUCUUCUCACAGCAAACAUCCAGGUUUCUACAUUCAGCGAUGAAUCCUAAUAUUUCUACUUCAUCCCACCUGAUAAAAAUCACAACAACGACACACGGAGUAAAAGCAGGAAGGCUUCCAGGAGCUGAUCGGGUUCAUUUGUGGUGGUGGGAGGUCCGACUACGACCUUAAAAAAUCAAAGUGAUGAAAA